AUCCAGCUGACGAGUUCCAAAUAGGAUCAACUGCGCAUCCUGGAU
This 45-nucleotide non-coding RNA is filed under the name Schistosoma mattheei. Lineage: Eukaryota; Metazoa; Platyhelminthes; Trematoda; Strigeidida; Schistosomatidae. The record is from RNAcentral.